This 460-nucleotide ribosomal RNA is filed under the name uncultured bacterium. RNAcentral's name for it is "partial 16S ribosomal RNA". It matches the Rfam family "Bacterial small subunit ribosomal RNA", at positions 338 to 795 of the family's 1533-position model. The record is from RNAcentral.
CCUACGGGAGGCAGCAGUGAGGAAUAUUGGUCAAUGGACGCAAGUCUGAACCAGCCAUGCCGCGUGCAGGAAGACGGCUCUAUGUGUUGUAAACCGCUUUUGUCCGGGGACAAACGCAGAUACGCGUAUCUGUCUGAAAGUAUCGUACGAAUAAGGAUCGGCUAACUCCGUGCCAGCAGCCGCGGUAAUACGGAGGAUUCAAGCGUUAUCCGGAUUUAUUGGGUUUAAAGGGUGCGUAGGCGGUCGGAUAAGUUAGAGGUGAAAUCCCGAGGCUCAACUUCGGAAUUGCCUCUGAUACUGGUCGGCUAGAGAGUAGGUGCGGUAGGCGGAAUGUAUGGUGUAGCGGUGAAAUGCUUAGAGAUCAUACAGAACACCGAUUGCGAAGGCAGCUUACCAGGCUACUUCUGACGUUGAGGCACGAAAGCGUGGGGAGCGAACAGGAUUAGAUACCCUUGUAGUC